RNAcentral lists this long non-coding RNA (637 nucleotides) under Mus musculus (house mouse). RNAcentral describes it as "predicted gene, 31600". Lineage: Eukaryota; Metazoa; Chordata; Mammalia; Rodentia; Muridae. The record is from RNAcentral.
ACUUUAUACCUCGCAAGGCACCAGAGCUGGAUUCUAGAGCAAAGGGCAGCAGCGCUCAUUCUAGAGGUUAUAUCAUAGAUGGUGUAACAUUACCUUCUGCCCACUGGGAUCUUAUCAACCCUCUGUUCCUGGUCUAUUUUGAGACCCAUCUGAGCCUGCUACCUGGGACAUGGGUAGUGUUAACAAAUCAACGUCCUGCUGACAAGAGGUGAACGGAGUCUCAUCUGGAAAGAACAGGGCAAGAGAUCAGUAGGCAGUUGGAUUUAUGCUUCAGAGCAUUGCUUCUUUGCAUGAAACUUAGAGGUGCCUUGUUAAACACUUAGAGCAUCUCUUUUAAGGUACGGUUGGUUCAGUCAGAAUGGCUAAGAUCAAAAGUUCAGGUGACAGCAGAUGCUGGAGAGAAUGUGGAGAAAGAGCAACACUCCUCCAUUGUUGGCGGGAUUGCAAGCUGGUACAACCACUCUGGAAAUCAGUCUGGUGGUUCCUCAGAAAAUUGGACAUAAUACUACCGGAGGAUCCCGCAAUACCUCUUCUGGGCAUAUAUCCAGAAGAUGCCCCAACUGGUAAGAAGCACACAUGCUCCACUAUGUUCAUAGCAGCCUUGUUUAUAAUAGCCAGAAGCUGGAAAGAACCCAGA